GAACAGAGUGAUUAGAAAGCAGCGUGUAAAAAAGUACAUUGCAGCUAAUCACAUUUCGAACGGUUGGAGAAUAUUAAAGGGUACACUAACAUUUGAACUACUCAUAAUUCCACACACAAAAGAAAAUUUGAUUGCAAAACAUAUUAUGUGCUCCCUCUUAGCAAUACCACGAUCUCCCCAACCAACUGAACAACGGUAGCCACAAUCACUCAGUCGUAUUGGUCAGCUUCUUCUUAGCAG
This 240-nucleotide long non-coding RNA is filed under the name Prunus persica (peach). Its description in RNAcentral is "long non-coding RNA (PPER_LNC000784)". The record is from RNAcentral. Lineage: Eukaryota; Viridiplantae; Streptophyta; Magnoliopsida; Rosales; Rosaceae.